RNAcentral lists this ribosomal RNA (267 nucleotides) under Triticum aestivum (bread wheat). RNAcentral describes it as "partial small subunit ribosomal RNA". The record is from RNAcentral. Lineage: Eukaryota; Viridiplantae; Streptophyta; Magnoliopsida; Poales; Poaceae.
AUGGCGUCGGCGGCGAGCAGGAAGGCGCCGUCGCUGGUGGUGGCGGCGACCGUGGGCGCCGUGGAGGCGCUCAAGGACCAGGCGGGCCUGUGCCGCUGGGGCUACCCGCUCCGCUCGCUCUACCGCCGCGCCGCCGCCGCGCCCAGGGUCCGCGCCCUGUCCGCCUCGCUCUCCGAUGCCGCCGCCGCUCCCCGGCCGGCGCCUUUGUCCGCGGAGGACGCGAAGCUGCGCAAGGCGCACCACCUCGUCUGCUGGGGGCCCAACUGA